CCUACGGGUGGCAGCAGUGGAGAAUAUUGGGCAAUGGGCGCAAGCCUGACCCAGCAACGCCGCGUGAAGGAAUAAGGCUUUCGGGUUGUAAACUUCUUUUAAGAGGGAAGAGCAGAAGACGGUACCUCUUGAAUAAGCCACGGCUAACUACGUGCCAGCAGCCUCCGUAAUACGUAGGUGGCAAGCGUUGUCCGGAGUUACUGGGUGUAAAGGGCGUGCAGCCGGGAAGAAAAGUCAGUUGUGAAAUCCAGCGGCUCAACCGCGGAACUGCAGUUGAAACUGCUUUUCUUGAGUAACGGAGAGGGCACCGGAAUGCCUGGUGUAGCGGUGAAAUGCGUAGAUAUAAGGAAGAACACCAGUGGCGAAGGCGGAUGACUGGACGGCAACUGACGGUGAGGCGCGAAAGCGUGGGGAGCAAACAGGAUUAGAUACCCGGGUAGUC
RNAcentral lists this ribosomal RNA (442 nucleotides) under uncultured bacterium. Its description in RNAcentral is "partial 16S ribosomal RNA". It matches the Rfam family "Bacterial small subunit ribosomal RNA", at positions 338 to 795 of the family's 1533-position model. The record is from RNAcentral.